Molecule: non-coding RNA, 125 nt
Organism: Hordeum vulgare subsp. vulgare (domesticated barley)
Lineage: Eukaryota; Viridiplantae; Streptophyta; Magnoliopsida; Poales; Poaceae
Source: Rfam
AAGGUACUCCCUCCGUCCCAAAUUACUUGUCGCAGAGAUGGAUAAAAAUGGAUGUAUCUAGCUCUAAAAUACGUCUAGAUACACCCAUUUCUGUGACAAGUAAUUCCGGAUGGAGGGAGUAUAUG